UUUUUUUUUUUUUUGGCUUGUUUCAAGUUUCUUUUUUCCGAGUUCAUUUUCACAUCAAUGCAUGGUAUCUGAAAUUCUCAUUCAAUAGACUCUCCUCUCAUGAUUGCGAUUUCGCCUCUCUUACAGAUCCUCAGAGGUUAGUCCUUACUUCUCAGAAUCACAGCUGUUGGUUUUGAGCACAUACAGCCAUCCUUUUAGUACAGUCACAGAGUCUGCGUUUUUUACCCAUCGAAGGUGUGUGGCAACCCUGCCUCCAGCCGGUCUCUUGGCACCCUUUGCCCACUUCCCAUCUCUGUGUCACAUUGGGUAAUUCUCUCAAUAUUUCACAAGUUUUCACCACUAUUAUAUUUGUUAUGGUGACCUGUGAUCAGUGAUCUUGGACCUUAGGAUUGUAAUUGUUUUGGUUUUUUUUUAAGUGAUAAAGUAUUUUUAAAAUAAGCUAUGUGCAUGGGUUGUUUUAGCUGUAAUCCUAUUGCGUAUUUAACAGGCAACAACAAAGAGUGCACAUAACUUUUAUGUGCCCUGGGAAACCAGAACAGCCAAGUGACUUGCCGUAUUGCAGUGUUCCUUUACCACCAACCGUCUGGAGUUGAACCUGUGGUAUCUCUGAAGUCUGCCUGUUAAAAUCAAGUUAGUCCUUUGAGCCACCCUAACCUGGAAGGGGACCUAGGGUGACAAAGGAGUGACAUUUGGAGGCGGAAGCAUGAUUGGCCUCAGCCUGAGGGUACCAGCACCUCUUUUUCAUCUCUUCACCUUGGACACACACAUCUCAGAAACACCUGUGUCUCUGGCGGGUCGGACCCUUAAUAGGCAAACUUGAAUCUUUGUCAUCACACUGAUGGAAUCAGGUUGGAUCUCGAAUACAUCUUUAUUAUUCAUUCUUAGUCUUUAUCAUAUUUCUCCAAAGGCACCCCCUCCCUGCCUCUUCCCUCUCCCAUCAAUGCAUCAAUUAUUUUUCAUCUGUUUACGCAUCUUAUUCUUGUGUCUUCCUUCCUUCCUCCUUUCUUUUUCCUUUCUUUCUCCUUCCUUCCUUCUUUCUUUCCUUUCUUUCUUUUUCCCUUCCCUUCCCUUCCCUUCCUUCUUAGGGCCACCCCUACAGCAUAUGGAAGUUCCCAAGCUACAGCUCAUGGCAAUGCCAGAUCCUUGACUCACUGAGAGGGACCAGGGAUCAAACCUGUAUCCUCAUGGAUACUAGUCAGAUUCAUUUCUGCUGCGUCACCACAUGAACGCCCCUCUUCCUAUUCUGAAAGCACCACUGUGUUUUUGAUGAAUUCCAUCUAAGUAUUUCCCCUAACCAAGGCACUGGAUAGGUAUUUUGAAGGACACCACAGCAGGAGUUCUGGUUGUGGCUCAGUGGGUUGAGAAUCCGACUAGUGUCCCUGAGGAGGCGGGUUUGAUUCCCGUCCUUGUUCAGUGGGUGAAGGAUUGGGUGUUGCCACAAGCUGCGCCAUAGGUCACAGGUGCAGCUCACAUCUGGUGGUGUUGGGGCUGUGGCAUAGGCGGGCAGCUGCAGCUCUGAUUUGAUCCCUCGCCUGGGAAUGUUCAUGUGCCACAGGUAAGGCUGUAAAAAGAAAGAUACCAUGGCAAGCAAAAGGUAGCCCCAGCAAUUAAGGAGUUCAAACAUUGAAGAUAGAAGAUUGCUUUCUAAAUAAAUGGUGAGAUGAUGUCUAUUAUCUCAGCGUGGCUUAACCCAAUCGGCAUGCAUGUUGUCACUAUUUAUCAUUCAGUAAAGCUGAGGAUUUGAUUCCCAAUAAUGAGAAGACUGUCCGUGCGAGUUCUAUUAUGUGUCUAAUUGACCCUGGGCUGAUUAGUAUUGCUUCAAAUUAGUGACAUAUAAUAUUCAUGACUGGGACCUAACGGAUGGAGAAGGUCAGUCUAAAUUAGUGAAAACUGUCAAUUUCCAGAAUGCCCCUUUACACAUUAAGUGCUUGCAAAAAUACGUCCAUCGCACUGACAUAAUGAACAGAACAGGCUCAUUUGCAUUAAAUUAAUUAUGGUCAGACAUAGAGCCUUUCUCUCCUUUUUUUUUUUUCCCCUUCUUUUUCUCACCUGACCUAGGGUAAUGGAGCUGUCUAGUGAUUCUCAGGUGCUUUGGAUAAAUAUCGGGACUUUCUGGACCCGUUGAGUCACAAAUGAAGAUUGGCUCUGCCAUCAGUACAAAUACUUAUAAGCCCCCAAGGCACAUUUUGAUGAAAUCAAGAAAGGUUCUAAUUUCUGUCUUCAGACAUAAGCCUUUGCACAAAUGAUGCACAUCAAGAGAGAAUGAUAUUCUGCUGGAGAUGGGAUUAGGCAAGCGUUAGGCUGAUUCAGGUAAGGUCUCUCCAUGAGGUGUGUGUUUGUGUGUGUCACUGUGUGAAACCCAGCAGGGCCUUCUGGGGCUCCUGGACACACAAGCCUUUCUGUGGUCCCCAUGUCUUGUUUUGAGGGAAUGAGCUUCAGGCUCCAGGACCUUCCCUGGGCCUUAGAGGGCAGGUGCCAACCGGUGCUGAUCAGGGAAGGGAGGGCAUGCAGAGACCCGGGAGGAGCCAUCCAGACACAAUUGUGCAGCCUGGGGGUUGGUCCUGGUUCCUCCUCAAGGGAUACACAUAGCAAUAUCUUUGAGCUCUUCUGCAGAACGAAAAUCCCCAACAAAUGGAAGCCAGGGAGGAGGACCACCAGAACCAGUCCUGGGGCCCCCAAAUACCAGCUCUGAAGAAGAAUGAAGCUUAAUAUGAUCCUUAUCUGUGGCUGUCUUCUACUCCCAAACUACAAAAGGCUUCCUAAUGUCUCCCAAGAGAGGGUACAGUCUUUAGGGCCUCAGCCUGCUGUGGUCUCCUUUGCCUGGCAAAACAGUGAAGCUAUUUUUUUCUCCUUCACGUUUCUAUUUGGCACCAGUGGACAGAGGCUGAGUUUCGGCAGUGUGUGUGUGUGUGUGUGUGUGUGUGUGUGUGUGUGUGUUGCGUGGGGUGCACAUAAGACUAAUAGUCUUAUAGACCAGGAAUGUCAUUCUUGAGUUACAGAGUGCAAUGCUGGCCAGGCUCCCAAAAGCAGGCAUGCUGGCUCUGAGUGUUCAUCUUUGCUGGCUGCUCUGACACAUUGCCACAGGCUUGGUGGCUUGAAACUUCAUUCGCUUGCACAUCUGUAGGUUGCAGAUGCAGCCCGUGUCUCUGGGCUCACAUCAAGGUGUGGACAGAGCUCUAGGGGACUGUGUGUAGCUGUGCCCUUUCCAGCAUGAGCGGCUGCCGACAUUGCUUGACUCGUGAUCACUUCCUUCGCUUUCAAAGCCAGCGGCCACAGCUGCAGCCAGCACGGGACACCACACUGACCACUUCUGCCUCCUUCCACUUAAAGAUCUUUACGAUGCCUGAGUCCACGUGGACACUCCAGGAGAAUCUCCCAGUGUUAAGGUCCCUGGAUCAGCAACUUAAAUUCCAUGUGUAAGCUUCAUUUCCCUUUUUCCUGUAAAGUAACGCGUUCACAGGUGCUGAAAUUAGGAGGUGAGCAUCUUUGAAAAGGAGGUGUUAUGCUCUUCACCACAUCGUGCACCUGCUCACCUUGUCGCCACCCAUCACCAGAGAAAAAUGGUCUCUAAUCCAUCUUAUGAUCAGUAAGGAACCUCUCACAGAGAUUCCAAGAUGACAUUUGGACUAUAUCCUUCAUGGAUACGUCUAGAUUUCUGAUUCCAGAUGUAAAACACUAACUUUCUGCAUUAGAGAGCAAGUCAAGUUAAUUUUCAUAUACAAAUCCAUCAUGUCAGCUUAUAAUGAGGCAUUUUAAACCAAAUUAUCAAAAAACAGUACUGUAGGAGUUCCCGUCGUGGCUCAGUGGUUAACGAAUCCGACUAGGAACCAUGAGGUGGCGGGUUCGAUCCCUGGCCUUGCUCAGUGGGUUAAGGAUCCAGCGUUGCCAUGAGCUUUGGUGUAGGUCGCACACGCGGCUCGAAUCCCGCGUUGCUGUGGCUCUGGCGUAGGCUGGUGGCUACAGCUCUGAUUCGACCCCUAGUCUGGGAACCUCCAUAUGCCAUGAGAGUGGCCCUAGAAAAGGCAAAAAAACCCCAAAAAACAGUACUGUGCUGUGCGGUCCACGCAAUGUCUAUCAUGAAGUAUGCUGAUUUUUUUUUUUGCUUCCAUUUGAUUUAGCAAAUAAAUUAAAAGGGUCCAAAAUACAGGCCUAAAAAAACAAUCUCAGAGUAUGAAUAACUCAAAGACAAGCUUAGUCGAAUAUCCUUAUUUUAAGAUGUGAAGUUGACACACUGAAAAUUCCAAAUACAGUUAGUGACCGAUAGAGGUAGGACCUCAUUCUUCCAAAUUUGAGUUUUAGUACCAGAGAAAAACGCUUAUCUUUCGUCUCUGGUAGAAGCCCUCCAGGGUUUUUCAUUGAGAACAAUGAAUGUUUUUCAAUUUAGAAUAAUUAGAAUUAUUUGCAUUUACAAUAACAACUCUGUAAAUUUUUUAAACAGGGAGUUACAAAGGGCUCAUCAGGUUAAGAAGCCAACUAGUAUCCAUGAAGAUGAAGGUUUGAUCCCUGGCCUUGCUCAGUGGGUUAAGGAUCCGGCAUUGCCGCAAGCCGCGGUAGGGGUCGCAGGUGUGGCUCAGAUCAGGGGUUGCUGUGGCUGUGGUGUAGACCUGCAGCUGCAGCUCCAGUUCCACUCCUAGCCUGGGAACCUCCAUGUGCCAUGGGUGCAGCCCUAAAAAGACAAAAAAAAAAAAAAAAAGAAAAAAAGAAAAAAGAGGAAAAAAAAGAGAAUAAAUAAAUAUUUUAAAUGGAAGCCAUCAGCUGAUGGGCUGUGGUCCAUGUUCAAAUUUCAGCUCGUGCUCCAUAGAUUUUAUUUACCACCUAGCACAAUCGAAGGUGAGGCUGUCUCGAUACCACUGCAUGAUAGAUGCCACUUGGUUAGGAAGAUCUUAAAAGACACUUUUGGAAUCCACCUGCUUAUGUUCCCCAGAUAAUGCUUUGUGUGCUCUUAGACAUACGAUGUGAUUAAUUGCAUGGAAACAUGGAAAAAAAAAAAAGAUUUCCAUCUCCAUGGAAACCGUGGUGUGUUCUAUUAUGAUCCCUGUGAAGAUUAAACUUUGAGAAACUGAGAAAAGGGUGAGUGAUUUUAAAUAUCUCUUGUUACGGAAACUCCUGGAAGAGAUUCUGCAACCAUGGAACUGCGUGGAGAGUUGCAGUAAACACACACUGUGUUGAGAUCAGCAAACAUGAUGUGCCUUUUACACUCAAACGGCAAAGAUUUCAGUUUGUGCCAGGAGUGUCUCC
RNAcentral lists this long non-coding RNA (5238 nucleotides) under Sus scrofa (pig). Its description in RNAcentral is "lncRNA (ENSSSCG00015073384.1)". Lineage: Eukaryota; Metazoa; Chordata; Mammalia; Artiodactyla; Suidae. The record is from RNAcentral.